GGCGGUAUGGUCAAGUGGUAAAGACAGUGGACUGCAAAUCCGUUAUCCCCAGUUCGACUCUGGGUGUCGUCUGAUAAAAAA
Molecule: transfer RNA, 81 nt
Filed under: Gastrodia menghaiensis
Lineage: Eukaryota; Viridiplantae; Streptophyta; Magnoliopsida; Asparagales; Orchidaceae
Also listed under: 1 other name
Description: tRNA-Cys
Rfam family: tRNA (bases 1-72)
About the family: Transfer RNA (tRNA) molecules are approximately 80 nucleotides in length. Their secondary structure includes four short double-helical elements and three loops (D, anti-codon, and T loops).
Source: RNAcentral